This 163-nucleotide small nuclear RNA is filed under the name Dasypus novemcinctus (nine-banded armadillo). RNAcentral describes it as "U1 spliceosomal RNA (ENSDNOG00000032541.1)". It matches the Rfam family "U1 spliceosomal RNA". Rfam says of the family: U1 is a small nuclear RNA (snRNA) component of the spliceosome (involved in pre-mRNA splicing). Its 5' end forms complementary base pairs with the 5' splice junction, thus defining the 5' donor site of an intron. Lineage: Eukaryota; Metazoa; Chordata; Mammalia; Cingulata; Dasypodidae. The record is from RNAcentral.
AUACUUACCUGGAAGGGGAGUUACCAUGAUCAUAAAGGUGGUUUACCCAAGGUGAAGUUUAUCCAUUGCACUCUUAUGUGCAUACUCUUGUGAUUUCCCAAAAUUCAGGAAACUUGACUGUAUAAUUUAUAGUAGUGGAGGAGUGUAUUCAUGCUCUCCCCUA